This 497-nucleotide ribosomal RNA is filed under the name uncultured bacterium. RNAcentral's name for it is "partial 16S ribosomal RNA". It matches the Rfam family "Bacterial small subunit ribosomal RNA", at positions 28 to 507 of the family's 1533-position model. The record is from RNAcentral.
GAUGAACGCUGGCGGCGUGCCUAAUACAUGCAAGUCGAGCGAACAGACGAGGAGCUUGCUCCUCUGACGUUAGCGGCGGACGGGUGAGUAACACGUGGAUAAUCUACCUAUAAGACUGGGAUAACUUCGGGAAACCGGAGCUAAUACCGGAUAAUAUAUUGAACCGCAUGGUUCAAUAGUGAAAGACGGUUUUGCUGUCACUUAUAGAUGGAUCCGCGCCGCAUUAGCUAGUUGGUAAGGUAACGGCUUACCAAGGCAACGAUGCGUAGCCGACCUGAGAGGGUGAUCGGCCACACUGGAACUGAGACACGGUCCAGACUCCUACAGGAGGCAGCAGUAGGGAAUCUUCCGCAAUGGGCGAAAGCCUGACGGAGCAACGCCGCGUGAGUGAUGAAGGUCUUCGGAUCGUAAAACUCUGUUAUUAGGGAAGAACAAAUGUGUAAGUAACUAUGCACGUCUUGACGGUACCUAAUCAGAAAGCCACGGCUAACUACGUG